RNAcentral lists this ribosomal RNA (444 nucleotides) under uncultured bacterium. RNAcentral's name for it is "bacterial SSU rRNA". It matches the Rfam family "Bacterial small subunit ribosomal RNA", at positions 335 to 796 of the family's 1533-position model. The record is from RNAcentral.
ACUCCUACGGGAGGCAGCAGUGGGGAAUCUUAGACAAUGGGGGCAACCCUGAUCUAGCCAUGCCGCGUGAGUGAAGAAGGCCCUAGGGUUGUAAAGCUCUUUCAGUCGUGAAGAUAAUGACGGUAGCGACAGAAGAAGCCCCGGCUAACUCCGUGCCAGCAGCCGCGGUAAUACGGAGGGGGCUAGCGUUGUUCGGAAUUACUGGGCGUAAAGCGCACGUAGGCGGACCUUUAAGUCGGGGGUGAAAUCCCGGGGCUCAACCCCGGAACUGCCUUCGAUACUGGGGGUCUGGAGUUCGAGAGAGGUGAGUGGAAUUCCGAGUGUAGAGGUGAAAUUCGUAGAUAUUCGGAGGAACACCAGUGGCGAAGGCGGCUCACUGGCUCGAUACUGACGCUGAGGUGCGAAAGCGUGGGGAGCAAACAGGAUUAGAAACCCCUGUAGUCC